UGGGGAAUCUUGCGCAUUGGGCGAAAGCCUGACGCAGCGACGCCGUGUGGGUGAUGAAGGCCUUCGGGUCGUAAAGCCCUGUCAGGAGGGACGAAAUCUCGGCGCUCUAAUACGUCGUCGACUUGACGGUACCUCCAAAGGAAGCACCGGCUAACUCCGUGCCAGCAGCCGCGGUAAUACGGAGGGUGCGAGCGUUGUUCGGAAUCACUGGGCGUAAAGCGCGUGUAGGCGGCCUUUUAAGUUUGAUGUGAAAGCCCGGGGCUCACCCCCGGAAGUGCAUUGGAUACUGGAAGGCUGGAGUACCGGAGAGGAGGGUGGAAUUCCUGGUGUAGCGGUGAAAUGCGUAGAUAUCAGGAGGAACACCUGUGGCGAAGGCGGCCCUCUGGACGGAUACUGACGCUGAGACGCGAAAGCGUGGGGAGCAA
Molecule: ribosomal RNA, 425 nt
Filed under: uncultured bacterium
Lineage: Bacteria
Description: bacterial SSU rRNA
Rfam family: Bacterial small subunit ribosomal RNA
Source: RNAcentral